AAAGAAGCUCUGCCUUGCUCAGCCACAGGCACAUCUGAACAGCGCACACAGUGACACAGUCAGGCCCUGAGGGGAAGAUGGGUUCCUGUACACUGUCGGUAAAUACGCUGAUACAUCUUUUCCAGGAGAGGAGGCGAAUUCCUUUCCCUCAGCCUGGCAGUGGUGCGAACGUAUGGCACAUGCGCUGCAGAGGGCUGUUUGUGUUACUGAGAGCUCUAAAAGUUUUGCCAUCACUGGCCUGGCUCUAGCCAGCCUUUACUCCACUGUGUACCACUGUGAUGACUUGGCAGGAGUUGUGCUCCUGUCCCAAAACCUCUCCUGGGGGUGAGGGAACUUUUCUGUGGCUCUUUACAUGAGAUAGAAAUACCUUUCUGCUGGCCACCAGCAGUAGCUGUGGAAGAACCUGCCCUCAGGUCCUCUGCGAAUGAGGAAGUGAGGAGGCUUUUAUGUCUC
This 453-nucleotide long non-coding RNA is filed under the name Cavia porcellus (domestic guinea pig). RNAcentral describes it as "lncRNA (ENSCPOG00000036730.1)". The record is from RNAcentral. Lineage: Eukaryota; Metazoa; Chordata; Mammalia; Rodentia; Caviidae.